RNAcentral lists this ribosomal RNA (462 nucleotides) under uncultured bacterium. RNAcentral describes it as "partial 16S ribosomal RNA". It matches the Rfam family "Bacterial small subunit ribosomal RNA", at positions 28 to 506 of the family's 1533-position model. The record is from RNAcentral.
GAUGAACGCUGACAGAAUGCUUAACACAUGCAAGUCGUAGGCGAAGCUGUGCUUGCACAGCCUAGCCAAGGCGGACGGGUGAGUAACGCGUAAGGAACUUGCCCUGCAGUCAGGGAUAACAGACGGAAACGACUGAUAAGACCUGGUAAAGUCAGGCGGACUCAUGUCCAGCCUGAUGAAAAGAGAUGCUGCAGGGGAGCCUUGCGUCCUAUUAGCUUGUUGGUGGGGUAACGGCCCACCAAGGCGAUGAUAGGUAGCCGGCCUGAGAGGGUGGACGGCCACACGGGGACUGGGAGACGGCCCUUACUCCUUCGGGCGGCAGCCGUGGGGAAUAUUGGACAAUGGGGGCAACCCUGAUCCAGCAAUUCGGUGUGCACGAUGAAUGUUUUCGGAUUGUAAAGUGCUUGCAGCAGGGAAGAAAAAAAUGCCGGUCCCUGCAGAAGAAGCGACGGCUACUUACGU